Long non-coding RNA from Bubalus bubalis (water buffalo), 6079 nucleotides. RefSeq lists it as uncharacterized. NCBI's taxonomy places the organism in Eukaryota, Metazoa, Chordata, Mammalia, Artiodactyla, Bovidae. The transcript has 16 exons. The record is from RefSeq and is a predicted model, not a curated record.
CAUUUUUCAUGAUGUACUCUGCAUAUAAGUUAAAUAAGCAGGGUGACAAUAUACAGCCUUGACGUGCUCCUUUUCCUACUUGGAACCAGUCUGUUGUUCCAUGUCCAGUUCUAACUGUUGCUUUUUACUUUUCCAGUGGAGCACAUUUUUCCAUAACUCUCCACCAUGACCCGUCCAUCUUGGGUGGCCCUACACAGCAUGGCUCGUGGUUUCAUUGAGUUAGACAAGGCUGUGGUCCAUGUGAUUAGUUUUCUGUGAUUGCCCUUUUAUGGAGAAGGCUAAGAGGCUUAUGGAAGCUUCCUGAUGGGAGAGACUGACUGAGGGGGAAACUGGGUCUUCUUCUGAUGGGCUGGACCAUACCCAGUACAUCUUUAAUCUGAUUUUCUGUUGAUGGGUGGGGCUGUGUUACCUCUCUGUUUUUUGACCUGAGGCCAAACUAUGGUGGAGGUAAUGAAGAUAAUGGCGACCUCCUUCAAAAGGUCCUGUGCACACACUGCUUUUACUCAGUGCCCCGGCCCUGUAGCAGGCCACUGCCGACCCAGGCGUCCACCAGAGACUCCUGGCCACUCACCAGCAAGUCUGAGUCAGUUUCUUUUGGGGCCGUUGUUCGUUUUUCUUGGGUCCUGGUGCACACAAGGUUUUCUUUGUGCCCUCCAAGAGUCUGUUUGCCCAGUCCUGUGUAAGUUCUGGCGGCUCUGUUGUGGGGUUAAUAGUGACCUUCUCCAGGAGUGCUUAUGCUAUACCCAGGUCUGCUGCAUCUAGAGCCCCUGCCCCAGCAGUAGGCCCCUGCUGAUCCAUGCCUCCACAGGAGACACUCAAACUCAAAGGCAGGUCUGGCUCAGACUCUGGCAUCCCCAGUGAGCCCAAGGUUUUGUUUGAGACCUUUGAGCAUCUCUGGCGGAUAUGGGGUUUGAUUCUAAACACAAUUUCGUCCCUCCAGCCAUCUUGCUGGAGCUUCUCCUUUGCCCUUGGAUGUGGAGUUUAUUUUUGGUGGGAUCCUUCAUUCUCCUAUCAACGGUUGUCCAGCAGCGAGUUGUAAUUUUGGAGUUGAGAAGAUAAGCGCCUGACCAUCUGCUCUUCCAUCUUGGGUCUAUCAUUACAGUUUAUGCAGUGAUUUUUGGGGCAUAGGGAUACCUAGAUUGUCUCCAUGUCUUCAGAUUGUUAGAUUCUCAUAGGAAAAGAUUAGACUGUAUAUUUUUAACAAAGAAAAAUGACCAAAGGAUUUUAUUUUUAUCUUUAGGAAGAAAGGAAGACAUUAAAGGAAUUGUCAUUUAAGUCAUAGCUGUUCUUAUAGCUAACAUAAAGUAAUGGUUAUUUUGCUAUACUAUAUACACAUACUGGUUGAGAAUUUAUAUGCAUAUACAAACAUACUGUAAAUGUAUAAUACACAUACAUAUGUAAAAUUAGUUUUAGGGAUAAUUUCUUUUUAAACAUCUAUUCAUGCUUUACUUUUUUUAGGAAAAAAAUGAAAAUGGAAUUUCAGUUAUAAGCUUAAAUGUGUAGAAACCUGCUUCAUUUAUAUCUAAACGAAUGUUAAUUUUUAUAUAAAAUGUUUAAGUGGCUAUGUAUUUUUUUAAUGUUUCCAUAUAUACUUUUGUGAGAACAGAAUUUCUGUGAUUUUGAGGUUUUUUUCUGAGAGCUUUUGAAAGUUUUCUGGUGGGUAGUUAAAUUUGUAUAGUAUAAUCAGUAACUAAUGUCAGGAGUAUUCUCAGUUACUUAUAAUGUAAAUAAUGAAAAUUUGUUAGAGGUAUCAUUAGUAUAUCUUAUUUUGUAUAGCAGUUUGGCAAUGACAAUCAAAAUUUGCAUAUGUAAAACUUUUGAAAUGAUAAAACUUGCUGAUGGGAUUUUACCUAUUACUGUUCUCAAAUUCAUAAAGAAGAAAAUAUGUUACAGAUUGUAACAUAAUUUGAAUGUCUGAAAUAUACAUCAUUAAAAGAAGAACUGUAAUGAUAGCUUAUUUGUUUGACUGUCAUUCAGACACUGAAAAAAUAUUCUGAUAUUGAAGAAUGUUUUAAGUUGAUUCUUUUAAUUGUCAUUUUUGAACAGAUAACAACUAAAUGUGUAUGCUGAGAUGUGUCCAUAUGCCUCUGUUUGAAAUAUUAAUGGUUACUAUUCCUAAGGAAUGGGUUUAUUCUGACAUGAUAAUAGAGUUAAAUAAUGCUUACUCAGUAGUGUUAACUAUAAUGGUGAUUAUUUUAGCAUUCUUUUUGAAACUUUUGCACAUGUAAGUUCAGUACUAAAACAUAUGUUGCUACAUGACAAUGUAAAAGUGUAAAUGUGCAUUAUGGAAUAGAAAGUUGUCUGGAAAAUCAUAGCAAAAAUUUAACAUUACUAUAUAAACAUACCAGGAAAAAGGACAGCUGCUAUUUACUGCCUUUAAAUUUUUAAAUGUAUUUCGAAAGCAACAUCUAACAACCAAAGGAACUUAAAAGAUACAGCCAGUUUGUGCUUGUCUUCAUCAUUACCUGUUGACAUUUUGGGAGUGUUGGGCCGUUGUAUCCAGCUUUGUAUUCCCAGUGACUGUUACGCGUAGUUCUGAGUGAUCAUGAAGAACGUGUGACUUAGAUACUACUGCCGCAGAGAGUUUUAAACAGUGAAACAAAGAGAAUUUGAUUACCCUUGGAAAGAAGGGAGAAGAUGGGAUUUGAGGUAAAUAUGGUGAAAGAAGAACAUAGCAUGCAGAUAAUCUGAGGAUAUCUGACAUCAUCAGGAACAUUCUUCUUACGGAGUUCCUUAAUUUAUAAAUCUCAACUGUAAAUCACAAGUAAGAAGGUUCUGGAUCAAGAAAUGCUGUAUUAGGACAAGAUUUUGGCUAGGCUCAGGAAAAUAACACUGGUGCAGACUUUGUUCUUGUGCAGCUUGGAAUUAUCAGAUAUUCCUGAGAAUCGAUUCUGUGGGUGAAGAUUUCUGAGAGUUCCAGAAUGUAUGAAGAAUCAACUGGGAAGACCCAGUUCAAUGAUGGAGAGUGAUUCAAACCACUAGAGUCUUCUGGAUACUUCUUCACUCACAUCUGGCACUGGUUUUAGAUGACUUGGAAGUGUGUUCUCUCAAGUGACGACUACGUAGGAAAACUGAUACCGUUGAUUCUGCCACCAUCUUCCAUAAAACCAAAAAAUAGUCUUCAUAAUGUAUGGCAAAUCCUCAUUAUUGUAUUGCAGCAGACACUCCCUGUAGAUCGUAAAAACAGGCUGAGAAGGCUCAAAUUUAAAGGGUGGUAUUGGAGAGAAUUGUAACCAGGCAUGUGGACUGUUUUCAUUGUUGCUAAUGGACUGAAUCUCAGGAGCUUGAAUGAUGGAGACAUUGUUACACAAAGACGCUCAGUCAGGACUUUGUAAUGUCAAAGCUUCAUUUCAUUGCUCCCAGAAGUAUUAGUGCAUAUAUUUAAAAUUUUCAUUUAUCACAGAGAAAUUUAAAAUUGAUUCAUAAAAAACACAAUUUUCAAGAUUUCAAAGGAUAUGGAAAAUUUUAAGUGUAACAUUUUACUUCUUAAAUGCCGUUUUUCCUCCUCUGAUUCUGCCACGUCUGUCUGUCUUAUCUACUUAAUGAUGAAAUUUUGUGCAUAUCUUAUGAGUUUAUUGAUAAAUUAACACUCACGGCAUUUUGGGGGAUUUGUAUAUACUAGCCACAGAUUUUUCUAUGCAGUAAGUGUUGUUUAUAUAUAAAUUGUACAUUUAUCCAACUAAUUUGUUGAAAUAAUUCCAAUGAAACUGUGAAGACUAAGGAUACCCAAAAUUUAUAGUUUCGAGUCCAAAGUAAAAUAGAUUUUCCUCUAUUAUAUAGACAGGAUUUCAUCAAUCUUAUCUACAAGUGUUUAUGUGGAUAUAUUUCCUAAAACUGUAUAAAUGUUACAUUUUUAUUUUUUGGCAAUAUGAUGUUACAAAGAAAUUGCCUUUCUUCUGUUACUGUUCAGUCUGUCAUCUUCAUAUAUGCUUAAUCCUUACAGUCUCUUGCAUUAUUUCAUUUUGCUCUGUUUUUUUUUUCCUUUCAGUUUCCUUGGUAUAUCAAUGUCUUAGUGUAGUGCAAAUGAAAUACCAUAUUUUAUUGCUGUCAAUUUACUGUGGUGUUUUGUAUUUUGGUUGUGUAUUAAAAUAUAAUCAUACUAUGUUUUAUGCCUUUUGAGGUUUGUGUUUUUCUUUAAAACAUGUUUGUAUUAGUAUCAUUUCUUCAUCUGUGUUUUUUUCAUCAGAUGUUUUGCCAUUUUAUUUCUCUUUCCAUUUAUCCUUACUGUGGUUUUAAAGCAUUACAUAUUCAAAUUGUUUACCUUGACUUAGGUAGUUAAAAACUCAUCUUCACUUCUACCAUAAUCAUAGAAAUUCUGACAUAUAAUUGGUUGAAUUUCUAUUUAUUUGUCUGCCUUACUUUCUAUUGUUACUUUAAAAUUACUGAUGAAUCUUCUAUUCCAUUGAGCUCUGUCUCAUUUCUCUUCUUUUUCAGAAUAUUCCCUGUCAACACUUGCAUUUUUUCUCUCAAUUGAUACUUAACAUUACAUUGCAAGUUGGAAAAAAUAAUGCAGUUUUUAUUUCAUUUGCAACAAUUUAAUAGAUUAAUUAGGAGAGACUAGAUCUCUUUAAAAUUGAGUCUUCCUGUCAAACAACAAGUUCCUUCACUUAGCACGAUUUUUCAAAGUUCAGCCAUAUUAUAGCAUGGAUUGGAACUCCAUUUCUAUUUAUGGGUCAAAGGCUAGAACAAGUUAACAUACUUCAGGGAGGAAAGAAGGACUGAAAUGAGGGCCUCUACUUCAGAGAAUAGGGGUGAAGUUGCCAGGCAUGAUUGUCUGUCACCCAGGAGACGAAGCCCCGCCCAUAAAGGUGACUCGAGGUGCAAGAGAGUCCGGCGAGAAGUGUGGCGGGCCCAGGUUGCUGCCAGUUCUUUUAGGAUCACCCUGGGACUACCUGAGUGGCUGUGAUGUUGCCAGGUCACCCAGGAUACAAAGCCCUGCCCAUGAGGUGGUGAUUCAAGGUGCAAAGGAGUCCAAAAAGAAGUGUGGAGGGCCCAGGUUGCUACCUCUGCUUUUUGGAUCACUGAGCAUGGAAUGCCUUCGUCUGCCCCAAGAUGAGUCAUGGAUUUACAGUUUCCUGGGACUGCCUGAGUAGCUGUGAAGUUUCCAAGUAUGAGUGUCCGUCACUCAGGAAAUGGAGCCCCGCUCAUGAGAUGUUGACUCGAGGUGUUGGGGAGUCCGGUGAGAAGUGUGGCAGGCCCAGGUUGCUGCCACUGCUCCCUGGAUAAUCGAGCACGGUGAAGUUCCCAAGUAUGAGUGUCCAUCACACAGGAAACGGAGCCCCACUCGUGAGAUGGUGACUCGAGGUGCUAAGGAGUCCGGUGAGAAGUGUGGCGGGCCCAGGUUGCUGCCACUGCUCUUUGGAUCACUGAGCACGGUCUUCUGAAGUCUUCCUGAAAGCCACCUUGGUGAUCUAUGAGCCCUCGGUCAUGUUGCAUAGCUGAGACGUGGCAGAAAGGCGUGAUGUCGCCCUAGUCAAAGCCCACCUUCUCCUGUGGGUCUUGCUGGGUGCUCAUUGUCCCUGUGUGUGCUGAGGCCCUGGAGGCUUCUGAUAUGGGUGAAGUUGCCAGGCAUGACUGUCCGUCACCCAGGAGACGAAGCCCCGCCAAUGAGGCGGUGAAUCGAGGUGCAGGGGAGUCUGAUGAGAAGUGUGGUGGACCCAGGUUGCUGCCAGUUCUUUUGGAAUCACCAAGCACAUGGAGAUGAAGCCGUGCCAAUGAGCCAGUGACUCGAGGUGCAGGGGAGUCCGGCGAGAAGUGUGGCGGGCACAGGUUGCUGCCACUGCUUUUUGGAUCACCGAGCACGGUGAAGUUGGCAGGUAUGACUGUCCAUUACCCAGGAGAUGAACCCCCACCCGUGAGGCAGUGUCUGAAGGUGCAAGGGAGUCCGGCAAGAAGUGUGGCCCACCCAAGUUGCUGUCACUGCUUUUUGGAUCACCGAGCAUGAUUGAGUUGCCCAGGAUGGAAGACCAUUGUCAACAGGGAACCCGUCACACAUUCUGUGAAUCCCAGCCUGGUGAGACAAGGAGCAUGAGCCCCUGGGGGCCAUUGUGCAUGCAGCCCUUGGGUUUACAGAUGGAAU